Long non-coding RNA from Brassica oleracea var. oleracea, 790 nucleotides. RefSeq lists it as uncharacterized. NCBI's taxonomy places the organism in Eukaryota, Viridiplantae, Streptophyta, Magnoliopsida, Brassicales, Brassicaceae. The record is from RefSeq and is a predicted model, not a curated record. The transcript is spliced from 4 exons.
ACAGCGACCGUGCGAAACAAACGAAACAGAGACCAAAGAUUCAUGCCCUGCAAAGAGACAACACAGAUUUGCCUCGGGGAUGUUCCAUUUCAAUCUGUGUUGUAAAUUGAUUUGACUGAUUGAGGAGAGAUUGGCUUACCUGAGGUCCAUCUGAUUCCGCCGUUGUCAUUGAUCAUCGGCUGCCUCGUCGGCGUCGUAUGUUACACCUGCAAGAGAGUAGGACCACAUAUAGCUGACCAUGGCUGAAGACUGGUUUAGGCAAGUAUAGAGCAACGUUUGAUAAAGUCUGGCCUUGGCUUUUAUUCACUGUCAUCGCAUAGCAAACCCGGAUUGGGAACUGGCGACGUUUCAAGGUGAAAGGGUGGUUGGAUUCUAGUGGUGACAGGAUGAUCCGUGGCAGCAGGAUAGGAUCUGUCUUCUUUGUAGCAGUUACGCAGGAGCAUGACCGGGACACCCACUUUCAGCCGGAGUUUGUGAGCUGGUAGGCCUGGGAACUCCAAGGAGUUCAGAUAUUCCAAUGGGUAGGACAUUUUGAACUCCUCUGAAUGCUGUUCAUCCUCUGCAAAGGUGUCUGCACUUAAGUAUUCUCUGUCUGGUCCAGGUCCGUGUAUUGGUUUGCAAAAUCUGGAAAAGCAGAAGAACAUAGUGUCUCCAAAGGAGUUGAAGUUCUAGGUAGGAGGACAGUGUCAUCUAAGAAUAUUUUGUCCUCUGGUGUUUCACAGUCGCCUAGGCUAUGAGGCUCACCUGCUGCUACGCCAUCACCUACCUGAAGAAUCCAGUCUGCGAACUC